GAGGAAAGUCCGGACUCCUAAUAGAAUAUAAUAGCUGAGUAAGACUCAGUAUAGGUAACUAUGAGGAUAGUGCCACAGAAACAAACCACUAAUAUUUAGAAAGGGUGCAAAGGUGUGGUAAAAGCACACCAGAAAUAUUUUCAAGAUAUUUGCUCGGUAAACCCCUAAAUGGAGCAAAGUAUAGUUUAUAAUUUUUUAUUCUAUUUAUAUAUAUUUCUUGUAAAUACUGCAGAAAGUUUUUUAUUCUCUUAAGAUCAAUAACUACCCUUUUAAAUCGUUUAUUUUUAAAAGAACAGAAUCCGGCUUAU
This 308-nucleotide RNase P RNA is filed under the name Lympha mucosa. RNAcentral's name for it is "Ribonuclease P RNA". It matches the Rfam family "Bacterial RNase P class A", at positions 43 to 352 of the family's 367-position model. From Rfam's summary of the family: Ribonuclease P (RNase P) is a ubiquitous endoribonuclease, found in archaea, bacteria and eukarya as well as chloroplasts and mitochondria. Its best characterised activity is the generation of mature 5'-ends of tRNAs by cleaving the 5'-leader elements of precursor-tRNAs. Cellular RNase Ps are ribonucleoproteins. Lineage: Eukaryota; Rhodophyta; Florideophyceae; Batrachospermales; Batrachospermaceae. The record is from RNAcentral.